AGGAUGAACGCUGGCGGCGUGCCUAACACAUGCAAGUCGAACGCUCGCAAGAGAGUGGCGCACGGGUGAGUAACACGUAGCUGACCUGCCUUCAAGUGUCGGAUAACGUUCCGAAAGGGACGCUAAUACGGCGUAAGCUCCCGGUCUUUAGAGGGCUGAGAGAAAAGAUUUAUCGCUUGAAGAGGGGGCUGCGACCCAUCAGGUAGUUGGUAAGGUAACGGCUUACCAAGCCAACGACGGGUAGGGGGUCUGAGAGGAUGAUCCCCCACACUGGGACUGAGACACGGCCCAGACUCCUACGGGAGGCAGCAGUGAGGGAUAUUGGUCAAUGGGGGCAACCCUGAACCAGCGACGCCGCGUGGGUGAUGAAGGUCUCGGAUCGUAAAACCCUUUCAGGUGACGAGACAAGGACGUAGCCUAGGAAUAAGUCUACGGCUAACUACGUGCCAGCAGCCG
This 456-nucleotide ribosomal RNA is filed under the name uncultured soil bacterium. Its description in RNAcentral is "bacterial SSU rRNA". It matches the Rfam family "Bacterial small subunit ribosomal RNA", at positions 26 to 517 of the family's 1533-position model. The record is from RNAcentral.